AACUUUCUUUCUUUUGUAGUUCUUAUUCUCUGCUCCUUUAACAUAUUUUUAUAACAACUCCCACUUUGUUCCUAAUAUAUUUGUUCCUAAUUCUAUUUCUCAUAGUGUGCCUACACCAUCUAAAUAUUCUUAUUUCGAUUGUGCUUAUCUUUUAGAUGUGCAAGUUCUUUAUCGGACCAAUACUCAGCCUAAACAACAUAUCUGGUCUAAUAACCACUUUGUAAAACUUACCUUCAAUCCUAAUCACAUAUUUUUAUCCCACAAGACACUGAAUGAGAGACCCCUCCAUAUCCAUACAACUUCGAUACAAUGUAUAAUAUCGUCCUCAAUUUCUCCAUCUCCUUAAAGUAUUAACUCUGAGUUGUGCUUGAAACUUCUUCUCCUAAAAAUAUCUUGCAUAUCAUUCCUCAUCUUUGUAUUUUUAAGGGAAAGGGUCAAAAAUACCCCUCUACUUUAAAAAAUUGGUCAAAUUUACCCUCCUUCAUACUUUGGGGUUAUAUAUAUCCUCACCGUUAUAAAACUUUACAUAUCUAUCCCUCAACUAACAGAAUAACCCAAAUAAUACUAGUUGACCCAUUUUUUUAAAAACCCAAACCUGACCCGACCCGACACAUCAAAUGAUACCAAACAAAUACCAUUUUCUCACAUACCUAAAUCCACAACACGCAUUGACCCAAACAAAUACACAACAACAUUUUCUCACAUACAUUUCACUUCUUCUCACCCUCACAACCUCACUGAAAGACAUUCAAUCGAGAGAGGAGAGUUCUGGCAAUGGAAAACCUGUUUCUCAUCUAAGAUUUUCAGAUCUGUUGAGACAAUCUCUGUAAAGAUUAUCUAAAAUGGUGCUAAUUGACUUGGUAUUUCACUAUGGCGGGGAGUGGAUAAGAGAGCAAAAAAUACUAUAUUCAAGAAAGUUAGUGCGCAAACGCAAAUGGGAAGGAUUUGUGCUUAAGUUGUUAUUUUAUUAGUUUCACAAAAUGAGUGGUGAAGGCACUUCUAAGUAUGGCCAGUUGAAGAGUAAGAAACAAAUGAAAGACAAACAACCAAUGGAGGGCAAGCAAUCAAUGAAGAGGCGAAGAACACUAAUUGAUGAAGAAGAUGUAGAACCAAGCCCCCCCAGAUUCCCAGAUCAUGCAAUAGUUGAGGACGUGGCCUUGACAGCUCCACAGGCUAGUCAAGAAAGCGCAUCAACUCAAUGUUAGCUCCUCUUUGGCGAGUACUUUGAGUAUCGUGGUCUUGAAGUUGAAAAAUAUGUACCUUUGAAGCCAAGAAGUGUUUCAGAGUUCAAGUCUAAAAUCUUACAAAGACAAAAACAACCAAAACCAAUUGGAUCAAGACAAAUCAAGUUUCUUCAUGAUGCUAUAGGUUCAGUUAAACCAAGUGACUUGUAUGCACCAAAAGGGCUCUUAUGGAAUGAUAAUGCAUCUAUUACCGGGAGACAGUUGGAGCAAUUAAGAGUGGAUAGACUUAAGACGAGAAAGGGUAAUGGCAAGGCACAACAGUGAAAAUGUAAUAUUGGCAUGUUCUGUGUAUUAAGACAAGGGAAUGUUCAAUAUUUGAUGGUGAAAAUAGAUGUUCUUUUUUUUUUGUGAAAAUUAUAAACCUGUAUUUUUGUUGCAACUUUUUGGGAUUAUAAGAUGGAAUCCCUAAUGUAAUGAACAAAUUGUGGUUCAGUUUUUAGAUAAUUUAAUGCUUGUUUAUGCCUA
This is a long non-coding RNA of Capsicum annuum, 1709 nucleotides long. RefSeq lists it as uncharacterized. The record is from RefSeq and is a predicted model, not a curated record. NCBI's taxonomy places the organism in Eukaryota, Viridiplantae, Streptophyta, Magnoliopsida, Solanales, Solanaceae. The transcript has 3 exons.